Molecule: ribosomal RNA, 482 nt
Filed under: uncultured bacterium
Lineage: Bacteria
Description: partial 16S ribosomal RNA
Rfam family: Bacterial small subunit ribosomal RNA
Source: RNAcentral
AUGAACGCUGGCGGCGUGCUUAACACAUGCAAGUCGAACGGGAUCUAGGAAGUGCUUGCACUUUUUGGUGAGAGUGGCGAACAGGUGAGUAACACGUGAGUAACCUGUCCUUUUCUUUGGGAUAAGCUCCUGAAAGGGUGUUUAAUACCUUAUGUUCUGUCUGCCUCGCAUGGGGUGGGUGGGAAAGAUUUUUUCGGUGAAGGGUGGGCUCGCGGUCUAUCAGCUUGUUGGUGGGGUGAUGGCUUACCAAGGCUUUGACGGGUAGCCGGCCUGAGAGGGUGGUGGGCAAAAUUGGGAUUGGGAUACGGCCCAGACUCCGGGGGGGGGAAGCGGGGGGGGAUAUUGCACAAGGGGGGAAAGCCUGAUGCAGCGACGCCGGGGGGGGGAUGAAGGCCUUGGGGUUUUAAACUUUUUUUGCUUGGAAAAAGGGGCACCAUGGGGUGUGUUGAGUGUAGGGGUUGAUUAGCGCCGGCAAACUACGU